GACGAACGCUGGCGGCGUGCUUAGCACAUGCAAGUCGAACGGAAAGGCCCUGCUUUUGUGGGGUGCUCGAGUGGCGAACGGGUGAGUAACACGUGAGUAACCUGCCCUUGACUUUGGGAUAACUUCAGGAAACUGGGGCUAAUACCGGAUAGGAGCUCCUGCUGCAUGGUGGGGGUUGGAAAGUUUCGGCGGUUGGGGAUGGACUCGCGGCUUAUCAGCUUGUUGGUGGGGUAGUGGCUUACCAAGGCUUUGACGGGUAGCCGGCCUGAGAGGGUGACCGGCACAUUUGGGGCGAAGAACCGCCCCAACCGCCUGGGGGGGGGAGGAGUGGGGAAUAUUGAACAGGGGGGGGCGGCCUGUGGCGGCACCGCCGCGUGGGGGAGGGGGCCUGCCGGUUGUUAACCCGUUUGCGCUUGUGCGGAAGGGAGGGGGGGGGAGAGGGAUAAAGAAGCCCCGGAAAAGUCCGUC
Molecule: ribosomal RNA, 468 nt
Filed under: uncultured bacterium
Lineage: Bacteria
Description: partial 16S ribosomal RNA
Rfam family: Bacterial small subunit ribosomal RNA
Source: RNAcentral